This 680-nucleotide long non-coding RNA is filed under the name Setaria viridis. RNAcentral describes it as "long non-coding RNA (SVIR_LNC008929)". Lineage: Eukaryota; Viridiplantae; Streptophyta; Magnoliopsida; Poales; Poaceae. The record is from RNAcentral.
GGCUGUCUUCCUCAUAGAUGGGAGACAGAGGAGGUCCCUCCUAGUCCGAGAGGUUGUGAAGGUAGGCGACAAGGCGUGACUUGUCGUCCUUGGCGAGAGCAGGUGACUUCAUGUUAGGCCAGUAAACGAAUCCGCCUUAUGGUGUAGAUGUAACCACCAUGCCCUGUUGUGGACCUGAUAAGGGAGUCUCCUCAUCCAGAUCCGAGUAGUAAUUGGGGUCCUCGAUCAAAUCCGAGUUGGAUUGUGAUCUGGACAAGUCAGCUUGGUAGACAGGACUCGAGUUUCGAAGUCCGAAUGAGAACCGACUUGUAUUGUAGACUGAUUUGCAUGAUGGCUUAAGUGCCAGCUUGUGGGAAUUAAUCCGACUAGUGGGAGGAGUCAAGUUGUACUCAGACUCAUCCCUCAAGCCUCGGAAAAGGUUGAAAAUUUCAUUGAACUUUUCGACGAAAUCCUCCAAAGCUUGAUGAUGAAGGUUAAUGUUGUACUGCUUCUCCUCCGGGGAUGGCGUAAUGUGGCCGUGGAAGUUACCAGCGCCGUUUGCGACGUAGACCUAGGAUCCAAAGAUGAAUGUCGCGCCCGCUUUGAACGUGACGGUGGGCUUGAUGAUGACUUGAGCCAUUGAGUUUGGCAGUAGAUUCUCAGCGAGAUCCCCUACCUGGCACGCCAGCUGUGGGUUUUUG